GACGAACGCUGGCGGCGUGCUUAACACAUGCAAGUCGAACGGUGAAGCGCCUUCCUUUUUGGUGGGUGUGGAUGAGUGGCGAACGGGUGAGUAACACGUGAGUACCUGCCCCCUUCUUCUGGAUAACCGCAUGAAAGUGUGGCUAAUACGGGAUAUUCUGUGCCUGCUGCAUGGUGGGUGUGGGAAAGAUUGUGCCUUUGGGUGUUUUCGGUGGGGGAUGGGCUCGCGGCCUAUCAGCUUGUGGGUGGGGUGAUGGCCUACCAAGGCGGUGACGGGUAGCCGGCCUGAGAGGGUGGACGGUCACACUGGGACUGAGACACGGCCCAGACUCCUACGGGAGGAGCAGUGGGAAUAUUGCACAAUGGGCGCAAGCCUGAUGCGGCGACGCGCGUGGGGAUGGGGCCUUGGGUUGUGAACCUUUUUCGCCAGUAAGAGGGCUGCCCUGGUGGGGGGUUGACGUAGCUGGAAAGAAGGCGGGCUAUUACGGCCAGCAGCCGCGGUAUACGUAGGGGGGGGGGUUGUCCGGAAUUUAUUGGGGCGAAAAGAGUUCGUGGCGGCUGGUCCCGUCUGUCGUGAAAUCCUCUGGUUUAACUGGGGGGCUUCCGGGGGGUACGGGCCGGCUGAAGGGCGGUAGGGAGAUUGGACUCCUGGGUGUGGCGUGGGAAGGCCAGAAUAUAGGAAAAACCCCCGGUGGCAAAAGCGGGUCUUUGGCCGGUUACUG
Molecule: ribosomal RNA, 721 nt
Filed under: uncultured Actinomyces sp.
Lineage: Bacteria; Bacillati; Actinomycetota; Actinomycetes; Actinomycetales; Actinomycetaceae
Description: partial 16S ribosomal RNA
Rfam family: Bacterial small subunit ribosomal RNA
Source: RNAcentral